GACUCUGCCCUUUGGGUAGACCUCCCACCCUGUGUCGUUAUACCUCUGUUGCUUUGGCGGGCCGCGGGGCUCCGGCCCCGCCCCUGGCUCCGGCUAGGGCGCGCCCGCCAGAGGACUACCAAACCUGAAUGUUAGUGUCGUCUGAGUACUAUGUAAUAGUUAAAACUUUCAACAACGGAUCUCUUGGUUCUGGCAUCGAUGAAGAACGCAGCGAAAUGCGAUAAGUAAUGUGAAUUGCAGAAUUCAGUGAAUCAUCGAAUCUUUGAACGCACAUUGCGCCCCUUGGUAUUCCGGGGGGCAUGCCUGUUCGAGCGUCAUUACAACCCUCAAGCUCUGCUUGGUCUUGGGCGUCACCGGUCCCCGGUGUGCCUUAAACUCAGUGGCGGCGCCGUCUGGCUCUAAGCGUAGUACAUACUCUCGCUACAGACGCCCGGCGGAUGCUGGCCAGCAACCCCCAAUCUAUCAAGGUUGACCUCGGAUCAGGUAGGGAUACCCGCUGAACUUAA
Molecule: ribosomal RNA, 506 nt
Filed under: Pezicula sp.
Lineage: Eukaryota; Fungi; Ascomycota; Leotiomycetes; Helotiales; Dermateaceae
Description: eukaryotic LSU rRNA
Rfam family: 5.8S ribosomal RNA (bases 164-317)
Source: RNAcentral